CAACUUUUGGUUUUCUUGAGGACUAGCUCUUCUGUGCACGGAAUUAUAUGGAAAAGAAUGAGGGAAUGCAGAAUAUGACUACAUGAUGAGGAACUGAGACAGGACAUCCUACUUCCUGAUGGUGACAAGGCUUCAGGAUUCAACUCUAUUAUCUUUUCCCUCAUGGAAAUAAGAUGAUGAAGAAGAGUAUUAUCUGGGACAAAAUUAUUUUCUUUAG
Molecule: long non-coding RNA, 217 nt
Filed under: Phasianus colchicus (ring-necked pheasant)
Lineage: Eukaryota; Metazoa; Chordata; Aves; Galliformes; Phasianidae
Description: lncRNA (ENSPCLG00000003794.1)
Source: RNAcentral